UGAAUGAUGACUAAAUGUACGCCAUCACCUGUUAGUGAACAAACAAUUUAGUAUGUGGAGUGUUGGAAGAAAACGAAAUCUGCGUGUUUGAAGUACACAAACAACUAGUCACAGUGUUUGACGUACACAGACAACUAGUCACAGUGUUUGAAGUACACAAACAACUAGUCACAGUGUUUGAAGUACACAAACAACUAGUCACAGUGGUUGAAGUACACAAACAACUAGUCACAGUGUUUGAAGUACACAAACAACUAGUCACAGUGGUUGAAGUACACAAACAACUAGUCACAGUGUUUGUAAGGAAAAACAAAUAGGUGCCGCUACUCAGUAAGAAACCAUGUAAAGCCUGAGACAUCCACUAGAAACAGAUACCAUUUGUCAACACAGAGCCUCUUGAAGUUGAAGAAGAUGACCUAAAAACCUUUCCGAGCAAGGUAACAGCUCCAGCAUCUCAACCACUCAUCAGUACAGCAAAGAUGUUGAGAUGAACAAUUCCUCUGAUACAAAUGCUUCACAAGGCAACAUCACAAAUGUCAAUCAGAUUCGUCCAAGACUUAGGAAAAGAAAAAACUUGCAUGGGCCUGGUCCUUCAGUUGCUCAUAGAAGUUCCAGAAUGCGUCUUAUGUCGUGCCAAGACGUUCAAGAGUUGCAAGUUGUUGUUUUUACUUGUUCUAUUGGUUGCUGUUGUUGUCGCUAGAAGCCGCUGAUAAUUGUAGAAAGCACAAUUGCAAUCCCAACAUGCUGCCCGCAACUGUAAUCCUCGCCAUUAGCAUAUCUGACACGAGUUCAUUUGAGGAUUUGCUCGGACUUUUAAUCUGAAUGUUCUCAACACAUGCUGUUCCACUUCUGUCCAUGACGGGGAUAGAGCUAUAAGGGUUGGCGGAGCGCGCUAUAUUAAAAGUAAAUAAAAAAAAUAGCAUUCGGGUCAUGAGUGUUUUUUUUUAAAUAUAUUUUUGUUUCUUAUUCUUCCAAAUGUACAUUGUUUGUAU
Biomphalaria glabrata is the source of this 992-nucleotide long non-coding RNA. RefSeq lists it as uncharacterized. The transcript is spliced from 4 exons. NCBI's taxonomy places the organism in Eukaryota, Metazoa, Mollusca, Gastropoda, Planorbidae. The record is from RefSeq and is a predicted model, not a curated record.